UAACAUUAUCUAGGGGAACUACAGCUUAAAUCCUGUCCUGGGCUCAGACCCACCUAUCUUAACUCGAGGCUUAUCUCAGUCUUCUCAUAGGUAUCCGGAUUCUUUUUUGUUGCAAACAACCCUUCUGACAUGGUCUCCUCAGAGUCAUAGCUCUUCGGUGUCUGCACAUCCCACAUAGAACUAUGCUGUGCAUUACUGCCGCU
RNAcentral lists this long non-coding RNA (203 nucleotides) under Elaeis guineensis (African oil palm). Its description in RNAcentral is "long non-coding RNA (EGUI_LNC034116)". The record is from RNAcentral. Lineage: Eukaryota; Viridiplantae; Streptophyta; Magnoliopsida; Arecales; Arecaceae.